RNAcentral lists this ribosomal RNA (322 nucleotides) under uncultured Sandonidae. Its description in RNAcentral is "SSU rRNA". The stretch from base 112 to 322 matches the Rfam family "Eukaryotic small subunit ribosomal RNA", at positions 744 to 955 of the family's 1831-position model. Lineage: Eukaryota; Cercozoa; Glissomonadida; Viridiraptoridae. The record is from RNAcentral.
GAUUUCUGGCUUGAAACAUUUUGCCGGCCACGGUUUCGUGUGUUAGUGCUUGAUGUUCUGGCCAUCCUUCCAAUUGCUAUUUAUCUUUCUUCAUUGAUAGGUAGAUAGUAUUGGAUCUUUUACUUUGAAAAAAUUAGAGUGUUUCAAGCAGGCUUAAUGCUAUGAAUACAUUAGCAUGGAAUAAUAAUUUAGGACUUCGGUUCUAUUUUGUUGGUUUCUAGGACUGAAGUAAUGAUUGAUAGGGAUAGUUGGGGGUGCUAGUAUUCAGCGGCCAGAGGUGAAAUUCUCGGAUUCGCUGAAGACUAACUUAUGCGAAAGCAUU